Molecule: ribosomal RNA, 445 nt
Filed under: uncultured bacterium
Lineage: Bacteria
Description: SSU rRNA
Rfam family: Bacterial small subunit ribosomal RNA
Source: RNAcentral
AGAGCGAACGCUGGCGGCAGGCUUAACACAUGCAAGUCGAGCGGGCGUAGCAAUACGUCAGCGGCAGACGGGUGAGUAACGCGUGGGAACAUACCUUUUGGUUCGGAACAACACAGGGAAACUUGUGCUAAUACCGGAUAAGCCCUUACGGGGAAAGAUUUAUCGCCGAAAGAUUGGCCCGCGUCUGAUUAGCUAGUUGGUGAGGUAACGGCUCACCAAGGCGACGAUCAGUAGCUGGUCUGAGAGGAUGAUCAGCCACAUUGGGACUGAGACACGGCCCAGACUCCUACGGGAGGCAGCAGUGGGGAAUCUUGGACAAUGGGGGAAACCCUGAUCCAGCCAUGCCGCGUGAGUGAUGAAGGCCUUCGGGUUGUAAAACUCUUUCGACGGGACGAUAAUGACGGUACCGUAGAAGAGCUCCGGCUAACUUCGUGCCAGCAGCCGC